GAUUAUGGCUCAGGAUGAACGCUAGCUACAGGCUUAACACAUGCAAGUCGAGGGGCAGCAGAUCGAAAGCUUGCUUUGAUGCUGGCGACCGGCGCACGGGUGAGUAACGCGUAUCCAACCUUCCCUAUAGUAGAGAAUAGCCCGGCGAAAGUCGGAUUAAUGCUCUAUGUUGUAUUUAGAAGACAUCUGAAGAAUACCAAAGGUUUACCGCUAUAGGAUGGGGAUGCGUCUGAUUAGGUUGUUGGCGGGGUAACGGCCCACCAAGCCUACGAUCAGUAGGGGUUCUGAGAGGAAGGUCCCCCACAUUGGAACUGAGACACGGUCCAAACUCCUACGGGAGGCAGCAGUGAGGAAUAUUGGUCAAUGGACGAAAGUCUGAACCAGCCAAGUAAGCGUGCAGGAUGACGGCCCUAUGGGUUGUAAACUGCUUUUAUACAGGGAUAAAGUGAGGGACGUGUCCCUUUUUGUAGGUACUGUAUGAAUAAGGACCGGCUAAUUCCGUGCCAGCCGCCGC
RNAcentral lists this ribosomal RNA (514 nucleotides) under uncultured bacterium. Its description in RNAcentral is "bacterial SSU rRNA". It matches the Rfam family "Bacterial small subunit ribosomal RNA", at positions 15 to 518 of the family's 1533-position model. The record is from RNAcentral.